GCUGAUGCGUUGUUGGGUAGGGGAGCGUUCUGUAAGCCUGCGAAGGUGGCCUGUGAGGGUUGCUGGAGGUAUCAGAAGUGCGAAUGCUGACAUAAGUAACGAUAAAGCGGGUGAAAAGCCCGCUCGCCGGAAGACCAAGGGUUCCUGUCCAACGUUAAUCGGGGCAGGGUGAGUCGACCCCUAAGGCGAGGCCGAAAGGCGUAGUCGAUGGGAAACGGGUUAAUAUUCCCGUACUUGGUGUUACUGCGAAGGGGGGACGGAGAAGGCUAUGUUGGCCGGGCGACGGUUGUCCCGGUUUAAGCGUGUAGGUGUGUGUUCCAGGUAAAUCCGGUUCACUUUAACACUGAGGCGUGACGACGAGGCACUACGGUGCUGAAGCAACAAAUGCCCUGCUUCCAGGAAAAGCCUCUAAGCAUCAGGUAACACGAAAUCGUACCCCAAACCGACACAGGUGGUCAGGUAGAGAAUACCAAGGCGCUUGAGAGAACUCGGGUGAAGGAACUAGGCAAAAUGGUGCCGUAACUUCGGGAGAAGGCACGCUGACACGUAGGUGAAGUGAUUUACUCAUGGAGCUGAAGUCAGUCGAAGAUACCAGCUGGCUGCAACUGUUUAUUAAAAACACAGCACUGUGCAAACACGAAAGUGGACGUAUACGGUGUGACGCCUGCCCGGUGCCGGAAGGUUAAUUGAUGGGGUCAGCGCAAGCGAAGCUCCUGAUCGAAGCCCCGGUAAACGGCGGCCGUAACUAUAACGGUCCUAAGGUAGCGAAAUUCCUUGUCGGGUAAGUUCCGACCUGCACGAAUGGCGUAAUGAUGGCCAGGCUGUCUCCACCCGAGACUCAGUGAAAUUGAACUCGCUGUGAAGAUGCAGUGUACCCGCGGCAAGACGGAAAGACCCCGUGAACCUUUACUAUAGCUUGACACUGAACAUUGAGCCUUGAUGUGUAGGAUAGGUGGGAGGCUUUGAAGCGUGGACGCCAGUCUGCGUGGAGCCGACCUUGAAAUACCACCCUUUAAUGUUUGAUGUUCUAACGUGGACCCGUGA
RNAcentral lists this ribosomal RNA (1044 nucleotides) under Salmonella enterica. Its description in RNAcentral is "partial 23S ribosomal RNA". It matches the Rfam family "Bacterial large subunit ribosomal RNA", at positions 1213 to 2238 of the family's 2925-position model. Lineage: Bacteria; Pseudomonadati; Pseudomonadota; Gammaproteobacteria; Enterobacterales; Enterobacteriaceae. RNAcentral also lists the same sequence under 1 other name. The record is from RNAcentral.